RNAcentral lists this ribosomal RNA (418 nucleotides) under uncultured bacterium. RNAcentral describes it as "bacterial SSU rRNA". It matches the Rfam family "Bacterial small subunit ribosomal RNA", at positions 355 to 776 of the family's 1533-position model. The record is from RNAcentral.
UGGGGAAUAUUGGACAAUGGGCGAAAGCCUGAUCCAGCAACGCCGCGUGAGGGAUGACGGCCUUCGGGUUGUAAACCUCUUUCAGUACCGACGAAGCGCCAAUAACGGUGGUGACGGUAGGUACAGAAGAAGGACCGGCCAACUACGUGCCAGCAGCCGCGGUAAUACGUAGGGUCCGAGCGUUGUCCGGAAUUAUUGGGCGUAAAGGGCUCGUAGGCGGUCUGUUGCGUCGGGAGUGAAAACUUACAGCUUAACUGUGAGCGUGCUUCCGAUACGGGCAGACUUGAGGUAUUCAGGGGAGAACGGAAUUCCUGGUGUAGCGGUGAAAUGCGCAGAUAUCAGGAGGAACACCGGUGGCGAAGGCGGUUCUCUGGGAAUAUCCUGACGCUGAGGAGCGAAAGUGUGGGGAGCGAACAGG